GCUACAGUGGUGUGAGUAGUUAUUUGACCUACAGUGCCUCGAUUAUUCACAAUAAGGUUGCUAUAGUUUGACUACACUAUCACUCAGUUUUCUAGCUAUCUAAAACUUUGCGGUGUAUGUUGGCUGCAGUAGGUUCAUUAUAGGAAUAGGAUGUACACCUAAAUGUAAUCUAUCGAUCUUGAUAGAUAAAAGAAAAUCUUAUGUA
This 205-nucleotide long non-coding RNA is filed under the name Elaeis guineensis (African oil palm). RNAcentral describes it as "long non-coding RNA (EGUI_LNC044616)". The record is from RNAcentral. Lineage: Eukaryota; Viridiplantae; Streptophyta; Magnoliopsida; Arecales; Arecaceae.